This 426-nucleotide ribosomal RNA is filed under the name uncultured bacterium. RNAcentral describes it as "partial 16S ribosomal RNA". It matches the Rfam family "Bacterial small subunit ribosomal RNA", at positions 338 to 795 of the family's 1533-position model. The record is from RNAcentral.
CCUACGGGUGGCAGCAGUGGGGAAUAUUGGACAAUGGGCGCAAGCCUGAUCCAGCAAUGCCGCGUGAGUGAUGAAGGCCUAGGGUUGUAAAGCUCUUUUACCCGGGAGACUGUACCGGGAGAAUAAGCCCCGGCUAACUCCGUGCCAGCAGCCGCGGUAAUACGGAGGGGGCUAGCGUUGUUCGGAAUUACUGGGCGUAAAGCGUACGUAGGCGGUUUGUAAGUUAGAGGUGAAAGCCCGGGGCUCAACCCCGGAAUUGCCUUUAAGACUGCAUCUUGAAUCGCGGAGAGGUAGUGGAAUUCCGAGUGUAGAGGUGAAAUUCGUAGAUAUUCGGAAGAACACCAGUGGCGAAGGCGGCUCACUGGCGGUAUUGACGCUGAGGUACGAAAGCGUGGGGAGCAAACAGGAUUAGAUACCCUUGUAGUC